UACGUAGGGUGCAAGCGUUAUCCGGAAUUAUUGGGCGUAGAGAGCUCGUAGGCGGUUUGUCGCGUCUGCUGUGAAAACUGGAGGCUCAACCUCCAGCCUGCAGUGGGUACGGGCAGACUAGAGUGCGGUAGGGGAGAUUGGAAUUCCUGGUGUAGCGGUGGAAUGCGCAGAUAUCAGGAGGAACACCAAUGGCGAAGGCAGAUCUCUGGGCCGUAACUGACGCUGAGGAGCGAAAGCAUGGGGAGCGAACAGG
This 253-nucleotide ribosomal RNA is filed under the name uncultured bacterium. RNAcentral's name for it is "partial 16S ribosomal RNA". It matches the Rfam family "Bacterial small subunit ribosomal RNA", at positions 524 to 776 of the family's 1533-position model. The record is from RNAcentral.